Long non-coding RNA from Lemur catta (Ring-tailed lemur), 288 nucleotides. RefSeq lists it as uncharacterized. The record is from RefSeq and is a predicted model, not a curated record. The transcript has 3 exons. NCBI's taxonomy places the organism in Eukaryota, Metazoa, Chordata, Mammalia, Primates, Lemuridae.
GGGAGAUGUUUGGAAGGGAGUGGAGGAAACAGAUGCUGAGCUCAGACAUGUUAAGUUUGAGGUUCAAGACAGGCAGGGGCUCCAACUGCAGGGGCUGCUGGGAAAAUGAUGUCAUCAAUUCCCCAUCACUCUCCCCAGAAUCCGAAAGAAGAGGAAGGAAGAUGACAAAGAAAGGUUGGCCAGCCUUCAACGGCUGUCAUCACGAAAGGGAAAGGGGGAGUGUGGUCAAGAUCUGCCUCACUGAUCCAUGCCCAGGACUUGAGAAUUUGUUCUAUUCAUUAAACGCUU